GACGAACGCUGGCGGCGUGCUUAACACAUGCAAGUCGAACGGAAAGGCCCUGCUUUUGUGGGGUGCUCGAGUGGCGAACGGGUGAGUAACACGUGAGUAACCUGCCCUUGACUUUGGGAUAACUUCAGGAAACUGGGGCUAAUACCGGAUAGGAGCUCCUGCUGCAUGGUGGGGGUUGGAAAGUUUCGGCGGUUGGGGAUGGACUCGCGGCUUAUCAGCUUGUUGGUGGGGUAGUGGCUUACGAAGGCUUUGACGGGUAGCCGGCCUGAGCGGGUGACCGGCCACAUUGGGACUGAGAUACGGCCCAGACUCCUACGGGAGGCAGCAGUGGGGAAUAUUGCACAAUGGGCGGAAGCCUGAUGCAGCAACGCCGCGUGCGGGAUGACGGCCUUCGGGUUGUAAACCGCUUUCGCCUGUGACGAAGCGUGAGUGACGGUAAUGGGUAAAGAAGCACCGGCUAACUACGUG
RNAcentral lists this ribosomal RNA (468 nucleotides) under uncultured bacterium. Its description in RNAcentral is "partial 16S ribosomal RNA". It matches the Rfam family "Bacterial small subunit ribosomal RNA", at positions 28 to 507 of the family's 1533-position model. The record is from RNAcentral.